GACGAACGCUGGCGGCGUGCUUAACACAUGCAAGUCGAACGCUGAAGCUUGGUGCUUGCACUGGGUGGCUGAGUGGCGAACGGGUGAGUAAUACGUGAGUAACCUGCCCUUGACUCUGGGAUAAGCCUGGGAAACUGGGUCUAAUACUGGAUAUGACAUGCCACUGCAUGGUGGUGUGUGGAAAGGGUUUUACUGGUUUUGGAUGGGCUCACGGCCUAUCAGCUUGUUGGUGGGGUAAUGGCCUACCAAGGCGACGACGGGUAGCCGGCCUGAGAGGGUGACCGGCCACACUGGGACUGAGACACGGCCCAGACUCCUACGGGAGGCAGCAGUGGGGAAUAUUGCACAAUGGGCGGAAGCCUGAUGCAGCGACGCCGCGUGAGGGAUGACGGCCUUCGGGUUGUAAACCUCUUUCAGCACGGAAGAAGCGAGAGUGACGGUACGUGCAGAAGAAGCGCCGGCUAACUACGUG
This 472-nucleotide ribosomal RNA is filed under the name uncultured bacterium. Its description in RNAcentral is "partial 16S ribosomal RNA". It matches the Rfam family "Bacterial small subunit ribosomal RNA", at positions 28 to 507 of the family's 1533-position model. The record is from RNAcentral.